CAUAUAUGCAGGGAUGGGAAAUAUAACUUAAAAUCUCCACAAACUACUUGAGUUCACCUCAUUCCCGGAACGGCAUUAAGGAAGAGAAUUGGGAACACAUGGAGAAUGGAAAGCUGCAAACCUAAACAUCUACAGAACGUGGAAAGAACUAGUUAGAAACACAGAUAUCUUCUUGGUAGUGGGAUGUAGGGAAAUAUCAGUAUGAUCACACAGACCUGAAGUCAUUCCAAGGAUCUCCAGUUAAGCCCCAGUGCAGACAAAGCUUGCAAAAGCUACACAAAAAGGACUCAAUAAAAAAAGAGAGAUGGCCUUGCUGAGAAGGUA
This 324-nucleotide long non-coding RNA is filed under the name Canis lupus familiaris (dog). RNAcentral's name for it is "lncRNA (ENSCAFG00000057798.1)". The record is from RNAcentral. Lineage: Eukaryota; Metazoa; Chordata; Mammalia; Carnivora; Canidae.